RNAcentral lists this ribosomal RNA (762 nucleotides) under Triticum aestivum (bread wheat). RNAcentral's name for it is "partial small subunit ribosomal RNA". The record is from RNAcentral. Lineage: Eukaryota; Viridiplantae; Streptophyta; Magnoliopsida; Poales; Poaceae.
AUGCGCUUUGGUCUAUCUGCUCAGGGCGAUUCCCUCAUGGAAAUCCUUUUGGCCAACCCUGUUCCCCGACAGCAACUCAAUACUGCACUUUUCAAUGCCAUCCGGCCUAUACUUGCUACAAGGGGACCAUGGGCUGCUGGUUUUGGAUUCAGACACGAGGUUAUGCACUUUGAAGUUCAGGCACCACUUGUUGAUCAGUCCAGGCUGGAACCACAGGGCUCCAUGGAAGCUUCUCAUGUGGUGCUGACUGAAACUGAGGAUUCUGCCACUGUGGUGGUACAAACCAACACUUUCAGUUCUGAUUUGGAGACUGAUUCACACCUCAUGGACUUGGCUGCACAUCACUCUGAAACUCAGACUGGCCUGCUUCAGAUUGCAACAGGUGCCAUUUCUGAAACUACAAUCAGUGCGGUGGGUUCUUCAGCUCAUAAACGCAAAGGAAAGGCGCCAGUCCCCAUUGACACUUCCACUCUCCGUCGCAGCACUCGUACUAACAAAUAUGAUGGAUUUCGCACCACCUCUUUGUCUGAAGCCAAGGUCUCUAAAUCCAAGGUAAAACCGCGCACUGUUCCUACAGCCGUCUCUGCUGGUCCUGCAACUGCUGCUUCAAAUCAGAUGGCUCCUGAAGAUCUCCCUCCUCCAACUGACAUUGCCACAAUGCAAGCCAUUGGCACAAAUCUAUGUGCUAUCCCGGAGGAGGAGCUCACGGUUGCUGCUUUCACUGAAGACCCGGCGGGGACCUCUUCAUCAACCUCAGCUUGA